This 465-nucleotide ribosomal RNA is filed under the name Vreelandella stevensii. Its description in RNAcentral is "partial 16S ribosomal RNA". It matches the Rfam family "Bacterial small subunit ribosomal RNA", at positions 338 to 795 of the family's 1533-position model. Lineage: Bacteria; Pseudomonadati; Pseudomonadota; Gammaproteobacteria; Oceanospirillales; Halomonadaceae. The record is from RNAcentral.
CCUACGGGUGGCAGCAGUGGGGAAUAUUGGACAAUGGGCGAAAGCCUGAUCCAGCCAUGCCGCGUGUGUGAAGAAGGCCUUCGGGUUGUAAAGCACUUUCAGUGGGGAAGAAAGCCUUGGGGCUAAUACCCUCGAGGAAGGACAUCACCCACAGAAGAAGCACCGGCUAACUCCGUGCCAGCAGCCGCGGUAAUACGGAGGGUGCGAGCGUUAAUCGGAAUUACUGGGCGUAAAGCGCGCGUAGGCGGUCUGAUAAGCCGGUUGUGAAAGCCCCGGGCUCAACCUGGGAACGGCAUCCGGAACUGUCAGGCUAGAGUGCGGUAGAGGAAGGUAGAAUUCCCGGUGUAGCGGUGAAAUGCGUAGAGAUCGGGAGGAAUACCAGUGGCGAAGGCGGCCUUCUGGACUGACACUGACGCUGAGGUGCGAAAGCGUGGGUAGCAAACAGGAUUAGAUACCCGAGUAGUC